Molecule: ribosomal RNA, 374 nt
Filed under: uncultured eukaryote
Lineage: Eukaryota
Description: partial 18S ribosomal RNA
Rfam family: Eukaryotic small subunit ribosomal RNA
Source: RNAcentral
CAAUAGCGUAUAUUAACGUUGUUGCAGUUAAAAAGCUCGUAGUUGGAUUUCAGAACUACUGGACCUGCCGCCUACGGUGUGCGGGUUCGAGUUGUUCUUCUUGUUGAUUAAGCUUCCUGCGCCUCACGGCGUGGGUUGUGGAGUCAGCACGUUUACUUUGAAGAAAUUAGAGUGUUCAAAGCAGGCUAUCGCCUUGAAUACAUUAGCAUGGAAUAAUGGAAUAGGACUUCCGUCCUAUUUCGUUGGUUUCCGGGAGGGAAGUAAUGAUCAAUAGGGGUGGUUGGGGGCAUUCGUAUUCAACUGUCAGAGGUGAAAUUCUUGGAUUAGUUGAAGACGAACUACUGCGAAAGCAUUUGCCAAGCACUCGCNCGCUG